GCAGCCCGGGUUAAAAGACGCAGCAAAUCCUGCGUGGUGCUUCCUAGGACCGGGGGUAGGCAAAAUAGAUUAUAUGGUACAACAGGGUCCGCCGAAUCAGAGAGUUCUGGCUCAAGUAGCCCCGAGGAAGAUGAAAUUGAUGAACUCAUUGCAGCCUCGAGCAAGCCCCACUACUGUUACAUUAAUAUCCUGUGGUGUUUGUCCCUCUGAGACACAACACAUGACAAACUCCCUUUGGUCAUCAGCAAACAGCCUCGUUUAUUGCCUCCAGCAGCCUUUUAUAGCCCAUUCCAAACUCCCAGGUCGAGACAGCUCCUUGGUCUAUCUCUGUGCCCCCAGACUCUGAACCAAUACAAUGUCUGCAUCUUAGGAGAGCUUGCAUUGGCUGUGAGCUUCUGUCAGUCAGCCCAGAGGCUGCUUCAUGGAGCUGAGCUGGGCUGCUUAUUAUAACAUGAUUAAUGCUAAUGCUACAUACACUGUGCACCACUAUCAACUAACACUUCAUAUUUUUGUGGCUCUGAUGUGCCAGGCCAUCGGAUCCACACUGUCUAGAAUUCCAGUUUUCCCGUGCCUCUUCCUGGUUUGAGGCAGGACCCCUCCAGCCCUGGUUAUUAUUUCUUUCCUGGGCAUACAUGGUAGAGGUACCUUCAGGGGGAUCUGACAGAUCAUACCUGGCAGCUCAGUCAUGGGAGGCUGAGGCUGCCUUCACUUUAGUGGAACUCCCUUUGUUAGUGUUUCCCUCCUUGAGUUGAUGCAGCCGUGCUGCCAGGACAGAAGUGUGUUUCCCAUCCCACCUUCCCAUGUCUUCCCCGUGGUCAUGCAGGGAGAACCACAGGUCAGCUCUUGGGGUGCACCCUCUCUGUCUAGCUGGGGGAUGCUGGUCUCUGACUUUGGGGUCUGUGACUUGCACUGGUGUGAUGUGGGAAUUGUUCCUCCUCAUCUCCUCUUUGAGUUCCUUGACCAUGGCAGGGACAUGAGCCUGCAUUGGGCCAUUGAUCACACUCUCACAAUUUCUGAGCUUGCUGGCGACAGAGCCCACUGUCUCUUGGUUGGUAUCAGCAUUGAUCGUUGCAGUGAAGGUGGUGUAUUGAGAUGGCCCUGGAUUUGCCAGACUCCACAACAUUUGCCCUGUGCACCUGACCUUGUCAGGGUCAUUAUCAUGCUGUCCAUCCCUCCCAAAGAGUACCUCCAAUACUGCCACUUCUCCCAGCUGUUGGAUCCCUUCCUGAAGGGUCUUCCAGUGCAUUCUAUGGUGGUACUCCUGCAUUCUCUGCCUGUGGACAAACCUCUCUCUGACAUUCAUUAGAAGCCGCUCCCAGAGGGAAAGGGACCCUGUCUCCCUUACAAAAAUCUGACUCACACCUGAGUCCUGGGUCAAGGGUCCCCAAUUCCUUGCCUCAUUACCAUCCAGUUGUAUGCCUGUACCCAUAAGGUCCCGGAGCCAAAGUAGCCAGGUUGUAUAAGCCUCACAUCCCCAUCGUACAAUGUCUUUGUGCAGAUUUUGGAGACUUUCGUUCGUCAGGGACUCAAUGAUGAUUGCGACCUCUGGGUCUCCUGAGGGUUGUGAGGGCCCUUCUUUACCUGGGUGCUUUGAUUUCAUCUUAGAUCUCCUUGUUUCUACAGGGGCAGCUGCUGCUGGCUGUGAGUGCCCUUGCAGUUCAGCUGGAACCAGGACACGUUGGUUCCAUUGCUGCACUGUUAGAUUCUCCCUCUUCAAGUCAAGGGGAGAGCUUCUCACCAGCUGCUCAGCCUCAUCUACCGCAGCCACCAAGGUCUUGGGGACAUCGAAUGACACGUCCAUUGUCCACUACAGGGUGGCCUUGAUGGCCCUGAGCUGGCAGUGCAGCUCCCAGGAGAACACAGUGGCUUUGUGACAUGCAGCCACCAAGUCCCCCAGGGCCUCCUCCACCUGCUGUUUCCUCUUGGUGGCUGCCAUCCCUCGGAUGGUGAACACCACAGCCUCUCUCCUGGCCAUGGUGGCCAUCUGUUGCCAUCUUAUUGCAAAGGUUUCGUAACUUCUUGGUGAUCCCUCAUGGGCAGCUCCUCACAGCACUGACUCCUUCUUCUCAGUACAGCCAACAAACUCCAUCUAACUUCUCGAGCAGCCAACCUACUCUUUUACAAUUCCUAUCCUAAUUGGAUCUAGCUGUGGCCUAUUAAGGGCAGGCCUGUUCCUAAUGCUUGAUAAUUAGCACAGCUGUAACUUCUUAGGGGUGAGAUUACCUUCAUCACUAUCUCUAUUUUCCUACAUUCCACCCAUCCACAGCCACCAGCACCUUGUUGCUGGCCGCCACCACCCAGGCCUUGAGAGCAGCCAUUGCCUCUAUUUCCAGGGCCAGUAUUGUGGAUGGGACAUGCCUUGGCUUGUCUCACCCCUGCUGCUGACCCAAAUAGCAGCAACUGUCACAGGUGUUUCACCCUGGAGAUGCUUUUGGCUAGAUGGAUGUUGCAGCUGGGCGCGUGGGGACAAGCCCAGACGUGCCAGGGCAUAGAAAAUAUGACUGGUCCUUUAAUUCUCGUGAUGUGCGUCCAACCCUUUUCUCUGGUCCACACAGCCGAAUUAGCAAUGAGGAGUACCUGAAAGGGGUCUUCAAAUUCAGGCAUUAAUGGUCUAUAAUUCCAGGAUUUUAUUAAAACCCAAUCUCCUGGGUUAAUGUUAUGUACUUUUGUGUCAAGAGGGGAGGUUUGGGGGACAUAUCCUCUUUUUCUAAGUUCUUCCAGGGUUCUUCCAAUGACUUCUAAAUAUUUUCUGGUAGCUUCUUCUCCUUCCAGAUAGUCUCCUAUGCUAUAGGGUGUUAACGAGAAUGGCAGUCCAAACAUCAUUUCAUAGGGUGAAAUCCCUAUAUCAUACCAGGGUCUUGUUCUGAUGUGCAAAAGCGCUAGGGGCAAACACUUUAGCCAAUUCAUUUUUGUUUCUUCAAUCCAUUUAGUCAAUACAUUUUUGAGAGUUUUGCUCAUCUGCUCCACCCUCCCAGAACUCUGGGGAUGCCACGGAGUAUGUAAUGUCCAUUUUAUUCUAAAGCUUCGAUUAUAUUUUGGGCCACAAAAUGUGGACCUCGGUCUGAGUCUAUGGUGCUCACCAUUCCAUAUCUGGGGGUAAUAUUCUCCAAGAUUACUCUUGCCACGACCUGGGCUGUUUCCCUUUUAGUUGGGAAGGCUUCCACCUAAUGUGCCCGGUCUCUCUGCAAUAACAGCAGCGCGUUUCUCUCAAAGGGACUUGAGGUCUCUCCAUUCCUCCUGUACUUGGUGGUGCUGGCCUAUCCUUGCCUGUGUCUGGUAGUGGACCUCCCCACUCUUUUGUUACCUUGGAUUGUGGGAUAGAGUUUCUUUCCUCCACACUUUCUCUAGCUAUAGCGACCAGGAUCCUAGCCUUGGCCUUUCUUCUUCCCUCCUAAAAUACACCUUCAAUGCUUCUCUCAAUAACUCAUUAAUGUCCUGCUCUUGCUAAUCUUCAAUCUUUUCCAGUUUUCUCUGUAUAUCAGGCCAAGAUGUAGUAACAAAUUGGACCUUUAGUAGCACUUGACCUUCUGUGGUGUCUGGGUCUGUUUUGGAGUACAACUGGAAGUUCCGCUUUAGGUGAUUAAGCCAAGCAGCAGGAGUUUCAUCCUUCUCUUGUGCACCUUCAAAUGCCAGUUAUUGUAUUAGUUCCUUUGGGAACUGAUUCUCUGAUCCCCUGAAUUAUCAAAGACCUGUAUUCUAUCACAGCCUUCCUCCCUUCCUCCUGAUUAGGGUUCCAAUUGGGAUCAGCUAGUGGCAAUUUCUGUUCACCUGAUGGCACUUGGGGUCCCGGACAGUUAUCUUUUUCCCAAAUUGUUAUGCUAGCAGCUCUAAUCAUCCGGACCUCUUCUGGGGAAAAGAAUAUAUUUAAAAUAGAAUUCAUCUCCCCCCAAGUGUAGAUAUUUGGACCUAAGAAUUGAUCCACUUGGUUGGCAAUGCCCACAGGGUCCUCAACUAAAUUCCCUAACUCCUUCUUGAAUCCUCUCACCUCAGAAGUGGUUGGAGGAGCGUUCUUCACAAAGCCAACUCCUCCCAUAGGAACUUCUUUGAGGGGAAAAAGUCUCUCUACCUUGGAGGUCCUGGAUCGGAUACUGCAGUAUGGCCCAUCCUCAGACACAAAAUUAUUCAUUUGAGGGGUAUUCUCUUGUCUUUUGUCCCACACCACGGCCAUCCUCCUUGCACAUCUAACUCUGGCCAGACUUCUAAACAGUAGUGAAUAAUCUUCACCUUAUCUAAUCCCCCUGUGGCCUCUCUAGAACCCCAUCUCUCUAACUGUUCACCUAAGGGACUCGGGGGGUAUAUUCCUCAGUCUCUGGCCUCUCUUCUUACUAUUACAUCCUCCCAUUUUUUUGGGCCUCAAAAAAAAAAAAAUCACAAAGUUGCCUCUACCUAAAGGAAAUAUACUGACAGUCAACUCAAAAAAAAAAAAAAAAUCCUAUUUGAGAAGUCCCAGCCUCCUCUGCCGAAACUCCAAUUUGCCUGAGCACUUUUCGUCAGGGCUUUGUUCACACCUUGGCCUCCCUUCACUGAGACGCAACAAAAAAAACAACCUUGAGACCCCGGCCUCUGAGGCUGAGUUUGCCAGACCUCCCUCCUUCGUCAGGACUUUGUUUGCCUGCAGGACUUUUGGACUUGCCCAAAUCCUUCUCGGGACUUGUGAUUUUGCCUGACUUCCUUCAUCAGGACUUAAAACAAAACCAUGGCCCAAUUUUUAGUUUGCCUGACUUCCCCCGUCAGGACUUACAUUAUCAGGACUUUUUAAAACUCAAGAUUGGCUUCCUCUGCCGAGCCUCAUGCCUGACCUCCGUCAUCAGGACUUAAAAACAAAACUGUCUGAUUUUCUAAUUUGCCUAACUUCCCUCGUUAGGAUUUGUAUCAGGGCUUUUGCGUGCCACUCACACACUAUUUCCUCUGCACGCCCAGAGGGGGCCCUCUUUACCCCUUUGGAAGUGCCUCAAUCACCAAUUCCACUUGUUUCCCCCUGUUCCCGGCCGGCCCCCUGGCGGGGGUGCAGAACCACGGUGCUAAGAGGUCCUCACUCACUUUGAGGAGCCAACCUGCUCGCCCUUGUCUCACUCACACACCACUCGCUCGCCCCCUCCUCUCACCACUGGAUACUCUCAUCAGUCCAGUGCUCCUCUGCAUCACUGGUCCCAAGCCGAUCUCCUCUGGUCCUGAUAGCCACCUGUCCUGCAGGUCCAGUGUGGGUGGCCAUCCCAGUUCUGGUGUCCUCUUCAGGCAUGGCUCUCCUGGAGACACCCCAGCUGAAAUGAAUAUGGCAGGAGAUCUUUCUCCUUUUUAAUGCCUUUAUUAAAAAGAUCGGCUUGAGUGGGAAGAAAUGACGGGUCGUGCCCAUGCCGCCGCUGCUGCCAGGAAUGGCACAGAGGAGGAGGAUGAUGAUGCAGCUGUGUCUGCUGGUAUGCUGGAAGACCUGGGUCUUCCGUCCUCCCGAGAGAUGAGAACAUUCCACCUUUUCAGUCUGACAUUCAAUAUCCUCUUUCUAGUCAACCUCCUUUUAAGUUAUGGUGAGAGGCAAAAAGAAUCUUAAUAGACACAAGAUUAAGUUCCUCACCUUUGGACAUCACUUAGAUCUCUUAAUUCCAUGAUGGCUCAUUGUUUUUAGGGUUUUUUUCAAGAUUUGGUGAGGGGCUUCCUCAUUUGCAUACUAGCUCUGACGUCGCCUCCCCACCGCUACCUACAGCCUUCAGGUGCCAAUCCUCUGGGAAGCUGCAGGGGGACAAUUGGGCUGAUUUCUAACCAUUAACAGGUAACUGAAGAAAAAUUAUUAACAACAGGUGAUUACAACAUGAACAGCAAUUGGUUUAACUUGUUAACUCUACAACUUUAAAAAAUGGACAACUUUUCUACACAUAACAUCUCAUUAGUAGAGAAGUGAUCCCUGAUAGCAAAUCAAACAAUAGUUGCAUCUGAUGAUUGGUUAUGCCUAAAUAUGAUUGAGUCCAACCUAUUGAACCAACCAAUUUCUGUACAUCAGUAACAGUUUUAACACCAAUGUCUAAUUUCACAGGUUGAGGCAUAAUUUGAGUCACCAACAUCCCUAGAUAUUUCCAAGGCAUGUAUUCCUGUACUUUCUCCGAGGCAAUGAUCAGACCAAAGGCUUUCAAAUUUGUCACAGCACAUUGUUUAAGAGCUGAUAACUGUUUGUUGUCAGAUGCCAACAAGAUAUCAUGCAUCUAAUGAUAACAAUAGCAGUUAUUAUAAUUGCUCCUGCACUUUUGACAAGGCCUGUGCCCACGUACCAUUGACAAAUAGUUAUAGAGUUUUUCAGGCCUUGGGGGAGUACCCUCCAUUGAUAUCUUUUGUUGGGUUCAGCAUGAUUUGUGGAAGGCACAGUAAAAGCAAAAAAAAUUUCUUUGUCUUGCACAGCCAGUGGAAUAGUAAAGAAACAAUCUUUUAAAUCAAUGACAACUGUCUGCCAUUCCUGUGGAAUCAUUGUAGGUGUAGGAAGGCCUGGUUGUAAAGCUCCCAUUGUUGCCAUUACAGCCUUUGUCUGCUGUAAAUCAUAUAAAAUUCUCCAUUUUCCUGAUUUCUUUUUUAUUACAAAACCACGGGUAUUCCAGGGGCUGAAUUAUUCUUCAGUAUGUCCUGCUUGCAAUUGUUCUGUGACUAAUUCUUGCAGGGAUGUAAGCUUUUUGGUAGUAAGGGGCCACUGGUCAACCCAGACAGGUUUAUCUGUCAACCAUGUUAAGGCUACAACUGGAUGUUCACCGCCCUGCAUCACAGUGGCCCCUAUUAAAAAUACGUAGUAAUUUUGACACCUCAUUGAGGUAAGCAAUCUCGUCCCCACAAUCUUUGAGGAGCAUCAGCAACGUGGGGUCUGAUGUUAACUUGUUGGUGACACGAUCCGUCCUAAGGACGUGAUUCGUGAAGAUUCUUUUUCUCUGAUCUCAAUGUUCAAAACCUGACACGACAAGGCGAUUUUGCAGUAAAAUCAAAACAGAUAUACUUUUAUUGAAUAGCCACAGCAAAGACGCGUUAGAGAGAAGGGGAAUGAAGAAAAGGGAAAGAAUAAGGAAAAGAAAAGAAGAGAGGAAAGGCAAGGAGGUGUAUAGCUACCAGACGUGUAGAUGACAAAGUCCCUCAAAGUCCGGUCGACGAAGAGCCUGUCGUCUUCAUGUCAGGGGAGAUCUCCAGGGUAUCAGUCAGUUCUAACCUCUUUUAUAGUCCUUUUGAAUGGGGGAAGGGGACACAUUUCAAAAUAGUCUAUUGAGAAAGGGUACAAAAAGUCUUAUCAGUAGUCCGUCAGCAGCAGGCGUCGUCAGCAGCAGGCGUCGUACAAAAAGUCCAUCAGCAGUAGGCAAGAACCAUUGUAUUCUUGGUCCAGUGGUCGCUUGCAAAACUUGCUUUGGUCCCCAUGCACGCCUUCCCUCACCCUACAGUAGGGAUUUCAGUCUCAAUCCUUUUGGGAAGAAGAGGGGGCUUUUCCAUGUAGGGGUCGCAUGUCUCAGUCCUUGAGGGGAGGACCCUCUCCCAUCUCAGUCCAUCUGUCACGGUGGUUGAUGUACAGUGAAUGGAGGGUCUUUUAGUGGUGACCACCAAGAAGGUCAUUCCAGAGAGAAAGUCCAGCCAAGUCAGAAGGGUGGAGAAAUUCCAGGACUAGCGUUGCUAGGUGAUGCAGGCGAAGGAGAGCACACUGCCCCUUCUUGGGUGCAGUGUUCCAUGAGUUGAGCAAACACACCCACAGACAAUAAUUUGGCUUGGUGGACCAGUCAGACCUGGAUUUUCAGAACAGGAUCUUUUCCUUUCCCCGGUGGUCUUGGCUUUCAUGACGGUCGAGAGGCAAAAAAUGAGGGAAGUUUCGGACAGACACUCACAGUUGGCCAUCAGGAUGUUUCACAUUAAUUACAAUGGCUGACAAGCCACCUGUUGUAGCACCACCCAACCCCAUAAGUCCAAAAUAUGCAUGAGUGAGAGGCCACAAUUGAGGCCAACAAAGUCGCGACAGUAUUGUAACAUCUGCUCCAGUGUCAAUCAAACCUGUUACUGAUAUGGUUCUUGGAUGAUAUCCACUGGCUGUGAGGAUGCAUGUCUUUUCCAGAUGGUUUUCUGUUACUUUCUCAGUCCAGAACACUUGAGGUACCCCUGUUGAUCCAAAACUUCCUGUGCCACGACUUUGGUCCACUGUAUUUGGAACAGAACCCACAAAAGGUACAAGUUGAGCAAUGCAAAUUCCUUUCUGAAUAGUGACAGGGGGGUCAUCAAUUGAUACCAUAGCAUGAAUCUGUCCUAUAUAAUCAGCAUCAAUAAAUCCUAAAUGCACAUGAAUACCUCUAAGUGUGGUACUUGAUCUCCCUAUCAAAAAUGCAUUCAAUCCUCAUCCUAUUAGACCGUAGGCAUUGAGGGGAACUUUGCAUAUUUCUUUUGUCAAAAUGGUUACUGUGUCAGCAGUGGGUAUAUCAGUCCCUGUGGACCCCUGAGUAUUGUUCACAAAUGGGUAGCUUUGCAGUACCAGGAAGGCCUGUAGUUGCUGCUGUGGUUGUCUGGGUAUUUGGGUUCCCACGUGCUUCUUUGUGCUCUUCCUCCCAUUUCCCUACAGUAGCUGAUCAUUUGCAUGAUAUUUACUCCUGCAUUGUUUAGCAUGGUGCCCAAAUUUGGCACAACAAUUGCACAUAGUAUUGCUGCUUGCAUUUGACUUAGAUGUUAUUUUCUGGGUAUUACACUGUGCCCUUACGUGCCCUUGCUGUCCACAGCUAUAGCAUUUUGAUGGAGGUCUUAGAACUGCAGCAAGAGCUGCCAUGUUAUGCUCUACUGAAUCAACUUUUGAGCAAGCAGUUACCAUUUCAGACAAUGUGGGCUCCCCAGAUGUUCAUCCCUUAAAAAGCCCAGCAGAGCCGCAUCAGAAGACUGCGCCAACCUAUGGAGUCUUCUCGCCUGUAUGCUUGGAAUAAGCACCACCAAUUUGAUGAUACCCAGACCACCAUCCUUAAAACUCGAAUACAAGAUGGCAUCACAUGUACUCAGUGGAAGAUGAAGCCAUUCCUUGACCGCCUUACGAAUCAACAGGUCAAGGGAUUCCAGAAGGCCCACGCUCACCUCGUAAUCAGGCCUUCAAAUACGAUGUUAUCUGUCUCCGCAUGCGGAGGGAAAUUCGCCAAGCUACCAAACUCUCCCGUUGUAUCCCAUUGUAUCUUAAAGUGAUCGUGGACAACCCCAGAUGGUAACUGGAACCACACAGUUUCCGUACUGUCCAGAAUAAUAGGCGCCAGAUGCCUUCUAUGCAACUCGUACAACACCUGAAAACUGAGAAAUUUCCCUCUUUUUACCGCCCUUUUACGCAUCCAAUUAGUUGCUGUUUUGGAUGCACUCUGACCACGAACCAUCUGCCUUUUUCAACCCCUGCUAGAUCUCAUAUUUUGGCCUGGCACACCCAGGCUAUUUCGAAACUCAUCAAAACCCUCAUUCACCAGCUUUGGCAGAUUUUGACCCUUCAAUGCCUUCUUGAAGACUUCAUGAUACCUGGCAAAUAUGCCAGGCAAUAAACCAGUUUUGAUGGCAUCACGGUAA
Passer domesticus (house sparrow) is the source of this 9522-nucleotide long non-coding RNA. RefSeq lists it as uncharacterized. The record is from RefSeq and is a predicted model, not a curated record. NCBI's taxonomy places the organism in Eukaryota, Metazoa, Chordata, Aves, Passeriformes, Passeridae. The transcript is spliced from 4 exons.